AAACCAACAGGGAUUGCCUUAGUAGCGGCGAGUGAAGCGGCAAAAGCUCAAAUUUGAAAUCUGGCGUAUUCUACGUCCGAGUUGUAAUUUGAAGAAGGAUACUUUGGGGUUGGCUCUUGUCUAUGUUCCUUGGAACAGGACGUCACAGAGGGUGAGAAUCCCGUGCGAUGAGAAGUCCAAUUCCGUGUAAAGUUCCUUCGAAGAGUCGAGUUGUUUGGGAAUGCAGCUCUAAGUGGGUGGUAAAUUCCAUCUAAAGCUAAAUAUUGGCGAGAGACCGAUAGCGAACAAGUACAGUGAUGGAAAGAUGAAAAGAACUUUGAAAAGAGAGUGAAAAAGUACGUGAAAUUGUUGAAAGGGAAGGGCUUGAGAUCAGACUUGGUAUUUUGUAUGUCUUGCUUUCGGGUGGGGCCUCUGCAGUUUACUGGGCCAGCAUCGGUUCGGGUGGUAGGAUAAUCGCGAAGAAAUGUGGCACCACCUCGGUGGUGUGUUAUAGUCUUUGUGGAUACUGCCUGUCUGGACCGAGGACUGCGUCUUACGACUAGGAUGCUGGCAUAAUGAUCUUAAGUCGC
RNAcentral lists this ribosomal RNA (569 nucleotides) under Hemisphaericaspora jiuxiensis. Its description in RNAcentral is "Spathaspora jiuxiensis partial 26S ribosomal RNA". It matches the Rfam family "Eukaryotic large subunit ribosomal RNA", at positions 62 to 648 of the family's 3401-position model. Lineage: Eukaryota; Fungi; Ascomycota; Pichiomycetes; Serinales; Debaryomycetaceae. The record is from RNAcentral.